GCUAUAUUCAGUGGCAGAGCUUCUGCCUUCCAUGUAGAAGGUUGCAGGUUCGAUCCCUGACAACU
Podarcis lilfordi (Lilford's wall lizard) is the source of this 65-nucleotide non-coding RNA. NCBI's taxonomy places the organism in Eukaryota, Metazoa, Chordata, Lepidosauria, Squamata, Lacertidae. The record is from the annotation of a GenBank genome assembly.